Molecule: ribosomal RNA, 79 nt
Filed under: Chloroflexota bacterium
Lineage: Bacteria; Bacillati; Chloroflexota
Source: RNAcentral
CUUGGUGGUUAGAGCGAGGUGGCACCACCCGUUCCCAUCCCGAACACGGAAGUGAAACGCCUCAGCGCAGACGAUACUG